This 253-nucleotide ribosomal RNA is filed under the name uncultured bacterium. RNAcentral describes it as "partial 16S ribosomal RNA". It matches the Rfam family "Bacterial small subunit ribosomal RNA", at positions 524 to 776 of the family's 1533-position model. The record is from RNAcentral.
UACAGAGGUCCCAAGCGUUGUUCGGAUUCACUGGGCGUAAAGGGUGCGUAGGCGGUCGGGUAAGUCUGAUGUGAAAUCUCACAGCUUAACUGUGAAACUGCAUUGGAUACUAUCCGGCUAGAGGAAUGGAGGGGAGACUGGAAUACUUGGUGUAGCAGUGAAAUGCGUAGAUAUCCAGCGGAACUCCGGUGGCGAAGGCGAGGUGCUGGACCCUUUCUGACGCUGAGGCGCGAAAGCCAGGGGAGCAAACGGG